CUAGAAGUGGAAAUGUUAACUAGCGACAUAAGAUCAGAGUACAGCUGUGCCUAAAUGUACCAGGCUUCUGGCCCAGUGAGCAAAGUCUGUGAAAGAUUAAAAAGAGAGAGAGAGAGAGAGAGAGAACGAACUAUAUUGCUUUUCCUAAAUUCAAAGAGUAAACUUUUGCCACAUAAAUUCAGAUUUUCUGGAAUGAGACAUGAGAAAUGAAGAAAGCAAACUUGGAUGAUUUUAAGGUAAAUAUUUCCCAGGUAAUUGUGUUGAGAGGUGUCUGUUUCUCCUUCUUCUGGCAGAGAGACAAGCAGCCUGUAACAUCUUUCCAGAGAAAUACCUCGGAUUUGUUUCAGUGACCUUACAGUCUGGGUAUGAUGGCACCGGCACACACAAGAGUUUAUUGGUUAAUAAUGAAUGAAUCACAUUUUAUUUGUAUGUUUUAGGACAAUUUAUAAGCUCUUGUGGUUGAUUCAGGCUGUAAGACACCACCUAACAAAAUAUGGUUUCAGUAUCUGCAUGGGCUGCUCUUCCUUCUAGGUGGAAGCAGGGUUCCAAAAAGCAGGCGAGGUAUGACUGCCGGCCAAACUCAUAACCCCAAUUACCCAGCACUUCGACCAAGGCCUCCAAGGAUCAGGCAUCGCUUCUGGUCGCUUUGGUAUGCUUGGAUAGAAGACAAAUCAAUUUCAACAGUCUGUGAUUGACAUUAUUAUUAUGAUGAUGAUGAUGAUGAUGAUGAUGAUGAUGAUGAACCAUAACAUCCUGAGACAUUUAUCAGGCAUAUAAUGUUUCGAGUAUUUUUCUCUUUAUAUUCUUUAACAAAGAUACUAUUAUUUCACCCAUUUUAUAUUUGAGGUUUAGGCCGUUUUUUUUUUGUUUGUUUCAUUUUGUUUUUUAAUUUGCCCAGAAUUAGACAUCUGGUAUAACAGAGCUGGGGCCUUCAGUAGAGACUCUGGAAUACCUUUGUUAAAAACGUGAAAUACUCCCUCUAUAUAUGAUGUGUCAAAGUGCAUUCUGCUGUCAUGUAUAACUAGUUAGAACAAAUAAAAAAAAAUCUGUGAAACUAUACUUUAGUCGUUCUUAAUUGAAUUAAGCAGGAAAGAUUUACCAAGCUAAAUAAUCAGCAAAUGGUUCCAAACUGUAUGCAAUCAAAUGCUGAAUAGUGAAAAGCAGAUUCUGAAGACCUAGAGAUGGUCAGCAGAAAGGAAACCCAGUGGGAAAGGCCCAGGGAAGGCUUGCAGGAGAAGAUGCAGUGUGAGGCAGUCUUUGAAGUGACCUUCACUGUGCAGAGAGAGCAACGAAAGCAAAGACAGCAGGCUGGAAGAGAUUUGGAGGUAUGGGGGCCAAUGAAGGGGCCAGCCUGAGCAGAAAAGAAAUAGUUGUCCCCUUUCAGGUUUAUUCCUCCAGGUUUCAAGUUCACAAGGAACUCAAAAAGACAUACAGAUCAACCCAGGUACUAUGCAAUGGCACACCCGACAGGCAAUGGGGCUGGAAGCUGCCCUUGAACUACCAUGAAGAAAGCAUGCUCUGUAAUCCUGUAAUCAACAUAACACAGACUGAGUACCCACCACGUGUGCUACUAAUGCUAAAUGUCGGGAAUAGAAGGGAGAAGCAGAUGCAAUUCUGGUCCCCAGGGCACUUAGAACUGCAUAAGCACAUAAGUGUUCAUGGGACCAGUGAGUCUGGGGACGAGUAUGACAAUAAGGACAAACUUAAGUAUAAAGGAACAAAGGAAGGAGUAUUCCAUCUCUCUCGAGGCAGAAAGUCUUUUCAAUAGUAACACUUGAUGUGGGCCUUGCAGGAGGAGCAAAUCAUGAAGCUGGAGAAAGGAAUGGAGUUGCAGACAGAAGAGGUGGCAGGAGAAAUUGCCUGUAAGGAAACCCACAUGUGCUUGUAAGGAAAGCAGCCCAGCAGAGCUGGAUGGAGAAAACACCCAAGGUGCCUGAGGUGAGGUGGCAGAGCCAGCUGGAGUAGUGUCAGGAGACACUUGGGGUGAGGAAUAAGACAAGAAGGAAUUUGAACACAGUGGGGAGCCACAGAAGAACUUGAUCAUAACAAUGAGAUUAUUUGACCUCUGAUAUAAGAUGAAAAUCUGGCAAUGGUAAAGGAUGUAUGCCUAAGGGGUGAACUAAAAGGCUCCUUUGAUAUUCAAAGAUGAAGAUGAUAUCAUCAAGGGAGCCUGAAUUCAAGUGAUGGUAAUGGACAGGAAAAGGAUUCCCAAGGCAUGAAAGAUGAUCAGGCACACUUAGUAUCUAAAAGAUAAUGAUGACUUCCGAUUUUAGUGACUUUGGGAUAAUGGUGUCACGAAACAGGACAGGGACAAGACCAAAAGCAAUCAGGAAUAAGUGCUACUUAGACUAGAAAAAUACUCCUAAUGCUGAACACAUGCUGGUACAGUCUCAAACAAAACUGGGUGAUGCUAUUUUCUUUAAUGACUGUGUAGUCUGCCGUGGCAGGUGGCCCAGAGGAGUGAUAACAGGGACAGAGGACCCCCCCUCCCCAGGUCACUGGUUCAAAGUCAUAGUUCUCAAGUGUCUGAAACUUGUUCUCCUAUCUGACAGCUGUUCAAUGGCUCAUGUGAGAGGAAUUAGAGGUCUUAGUUGAGGUCCUAGCAAAACAGGUGCUCCUCUUUAUAACUGACACCUUUGUUGAUGGAGGAGCGAUUUUUUUUUCAAGAAAUAAGGCAGUUCUAGUCCUUAGGUUGCCUGUUGAGGCAUUUUUGGACUAACCAGAGUCAUUUUUUUUUCCCAAGAGCAUUCAACCGUGGCACAGCUGAUUUGUUUGAAAUGUUUAAGAUUUUUAAAAAUCAAGAAUAGGCGUUGACUGAGAGUGCUAAAGCAACCAUUUAAUAGAGCUUUUCUGCUUCCAUCUGUCCUUUACUCUUUUGAGGUCACUUCCCUAAAGAGAUUUGUCACAUAACAGGUCUCUAUUCCUUUCUCUAUUCCUUUUCAUUUCCUUGUCAACAUCUGGAUCUAAAGAAAGCAUUCAGCCUGAAAUAGUGGAUCUCCCUCCCUUUGGAAAAUAACACUAUAUGUUUUUGACACUAUAGGUUUUUCAAAUAUAUAUAAUACAUAUAUAUAGUACAUAUAUAUGUAUACAUAUAUUUAAUACAUACAUAUAUAAUUUAUAUAUAUAUAUAUAAUUUUAAAAAAUAUUUUAUUCCCUUCAAACUAGAAUUCCAAGUGGGAGGAUAUUUGUCCUGAACAUUAGGUAGGACACACAGGUCGUUCCCAAAGACCUCCACAGCAGAGGAGACCUUGUGCUCCACAACCAUGUUUGCUUACCCUGCACCAGUGUGUGGACUGGCCUGUGGCAAACCACUGUAAAAGAACGAAGUCACAUAAGAAUUGUGCUUGAGUCUGUACAUUCCUUGGUGUCAACUAAAGCCACAGGAACUUUGGCAGUAUUUUCAAGUUACACCCAUUCCCCCAUUGCAAUGCAGGUCUGUGAACUAAAGUCUCAGCUCUGCCAAAAACCACAGUGAUUAUCAACAGUAUAAGUAAUCAAGUAAAAGCAUAUUUUUUUCCACAGCCCACUGGCCAGAUUGUCAUGAAAGCAAAAAGUAGCAGCAAAAAUUGAUUGCUGUCUGCAAAGAUAAUUUCUAUCUGAAUUCUAUUAUUGUAUUGCAUCGGUGAUACAUAAUGUGUGCCCUGCAUCUUUGCCAUAAACAUUUUAGGUUUAAUUUAGAAAUCUCUGAGUCAUUAGAAAAGUUCUUUCUCAUGAUAAUGAAGAGGGCACUGUGAACUCAGCACUGAAAAGGGAAAGGAAAAAACAGGCAAGAUACCCACGUGAGAAGUAGAAAAAAUGACCAGUGGGCCAAAUAAUAGGAAGAAAUUCAAAAUAUACAUAGCUGCUUUCUAUUGAAUAAUUAAUACAUGCCUCGCUGUUUUUCAUUAUAAAGCAGCUUGAGUAUUUUCAAUGUUCCAAUAAAAUGUGCUCUGGUUGUUGAUUUGUUGUUGUCGUUUUGAAUGCUUCAUUUCUGGGAGGAAAAUGAGACUCGGAUUCGAGAAAACAAGACCUAAUAGAUCGACUCAACUAAACCUGCCUGCCCCUCACAGACAAUCCAUGCUGCUUGGUCAAUAAUCACUAGCAUUGGUAUUCAAUAGCUGGCAGGCAAGACGUUUUUAGGACAACUCUUCAACCCUAUACCACUGGAAAAUCUUAUCUAAAUUGAAUUUUUCAUUAUUCAACGAUUAAUUUAAAAGCCAAAAAGAUGGCUGGUGAAAAGCAUCAGACCCUACUGGAAAUUAAUGGAGUGCAAAUAUAAUAAACUUGAGCCUUAGGCCUCCUUCAAGAUUAGUAGGCGUGAAUCAGUGGUUUGAAACCUGGUUGCAUAUUAGAGUGACCCAAGGGGCUUUUUUAAAGUACUGAUGUUGAGCAAGCCCCUCCAGGGACCAUUUAAUAAAAUAUCAGGAGCAGGUAGGGCCAAGCAUCAGUCUGGCUAAGCCUGUCUCUCCCUCCAGGUGAUUUUGAUAUACACCCUGUUUUUGAGAAUCGCCCUUUCACAUUCUGGCCUGCCUGUGAGGAAAGAUAAUUUUGUAUUUGCCUACAAAUACUCCCAACUGUUUCUGCUAAGAGCAAGUGAUGCAUAAACUUGGAUGUGCACGGGAGAUGACUGGAGUAUUUUAAAACUGAUACCUGGGUCUUACUCCUCUAGAAUUCUGAGUUUUCAGUGACUGGACAAUCACCUCCAGGUGGUUCCAAAGUGUGAACGAGUUUGAGAACCACUGCUCUAUGAAAUUGAUGAGGACUUCACUUGCUCACUCACCUCAAAGCCUGAAAAGUCUGUGAUGAGUAUAACCAACCCUCUCUAUCUGUGGGUUCCACAUCCUCAGAAUAAACCAACCUUGGAUCACCUACAUGCAAAAAUUACACCUGUACUAAACAUGUGCUGGCUUUUUGAAAAUCAUUAUUCUCUUAAAAAAUAAAGUAUAACAACUAUAGACAAAGCAUUUACAUUGUUGUAUAGGUAAUCUAGAGAUGAUUUAAAGCAUAUAGAAAGAUGUGCUUGAUUAUAUGCAAAUACUGAGCAUCUUCACAGGGAGUUCUGGACCCAAUCCCCCUCAGGCACCAAGGGACAACUGUAUUUACAGGUUAGCACUCAAUGUAACCAAUAAAUAGCCUGCUAAAAUAAAAGAAAUUCCUCCUCUUUUCAGAACUAUCAGAUGCUCAAGUCUAGACUGCACAAAUAACCACAUAAAUGAGUGUUUAUUUUGAGUAAUAAGACAGAGUUGUAUCCAUAGAAACAACUGACUAAUAAUUAUAACAGCUAAUUAGGUAAGUGAUUUCCAAAAUCUAUUUUAAUGAUAACUAAUGCAAUGAACUUCAAACUUCUUAUUCAGUGACAUAUUUUCCAUACUUCUCUUAGCAGUUUGUCAAGGCCUGGCAGUAGGUCAACCAAAAGCCAAAAUUUUCAGCCCCAGCCAUGUUGAUUUAUCCCUCAGAACUACUCAGUGAGAAUUAAAGUAGCAUUCAACAAUAAGCUUGGGUUUGGGGGUCAAAUAGACCAUAAUCAGAGUCUCCUUUUCUCCGUUCAGAAGCAACCAGCCUCAGGAGUGGGUCUGAAGCUCCCCGCCCAUUUUCUCAUCAGCAAGAUGAAGCAGUGUCGUCUACUCCACAGCGUUGUUAUGAGGACUGGAGAUAAAUAACUUCCCUAUUAGAAUGCUUUGCACAUAGCUAUUACUAGAAAAAUUAUUGUAACUACUAUUUAACUUAUUGCCCCUAAUUGGGGGCUGUUCAGGAUUAACAUAGUACCAGAAUUUAAUCACUCUGGAGAGGAUGCCAGGUAUAAAGAUCAAAUCAUUCUGCCUUUCUGCCAUCUCAUCUGUGUCUGGCAAUAACUUGGCCUAACCACUCUAUUCUGCCCUAUUUUCCAGCUCAUUUUGAGGGUUUUUGUUUUGUUUUGUUUUGUUGACAAUGAACACAAUAUUUGGUGGUUUCUCUGGUGUUAUUGCCCUUCUAGGCCAUACUGGUUUCCUUCAAUUAUUCUCUGGGGCAAGGAUGACUAGAUAAUCCUUGAUAUUCUCUCAUUCCUCUCCCAUUUCUGCUUCCAUGUAAUUACCAAAUCCAUCUCUCACAAGCACGUUACUGAAGCUUAAUAAAAACAGAGAACUUUGCCAUCAUCAAUGGUAUUUGCUCAGCUAAGCAAACAAGCCUGUUUGAUAAGCCCAGAACCUUCUGUCCCUUUUCCCUCCUUGCCAGAGUCCCAGUGUCCUAGAGUUUGGACUAGCCCAAAAUUCAUUGCUCAGAUCCCCUGGUCUUCCAUAGAACUUCAUCACAGUAACUAACUUCAGCAGAACAAUUCUGACAAUGUACUUUUGCACACUCAAAAUGGAUCUCAACCGGUGCUAGAAGAGAGGUAUGGUUAUACACGAGUAAACAGAGGCCCAAAGAAUAGGUGACCUUCCUGCAAGUACACAGCUGGAGGAAAACUAAGGCCUGCGGAUGCCCAGUUUGGUUUUUCUGACAUCUGUACAUAGCACUAAAGUGAAAGUGUCCUCCAAUUUCAGCCCAGGGAAGAGUGAUAUUAAUUUUUCCCUGAGAGACUUUCUACUGGAUGAAUGUCUUAUGGCCAAAUGCAUGACUGACAGCAUUCAGCAGUCUAGCCAGGUCCCACACUAGAAAGAAAAAUCAAAUGGUCUUAAGAGGUUCCCAGAUCUCCAGAACACUGACACUGCAAAUUAUGUUACAGAGGAGUUCUGUGAACUGCUCCCGGAAAAGCCCACUCCACUUCUAUUGUCUCUACAAGCCUGAGGCACUUGAUCCAUAAGCUGGGGAGCCCUCUGCAGUACUGGAGGAGGAGACCGUCUCCCAGUGAGCAACCAUUUGCCUUAGGAUAGCUACAUCAAAAAGAUAUUUCAAGCCAGUCAGAUUUUACCAAAGGCAAAAAGAGCACUAGAGAAUAGCAACUGGUUAGUAGCUUGUUAGUUCUACCACUGUAAAGGAGAUACUACAGGGGGGAAAAAAAGGAAAAUACAUGAACAUUCUACAGAAGUUAUGAACACAACAGUAAGAGCAUCCACAGUAUCCCUUGUUCAUGGAGACUAUGGAGUCAGAGAAGAAUCUCAGCAUUGGAACAAAGCAGUAUGAAUAGAGUAUUGACAUCUUGUCAUCCUUAAAAAACAUUAGGGAAAUUCCUUCCCCAAUGCAGGAAUUGCUAUAACAAUAUUCCUACUAAGAGAUAGCACAGUCAAAAAGACCCCUCUUGGCCCAGCCGGAAGAAGGCAGCCUAGUAGAGUUUCCCAAAAUGCAAUACACAUCCUCAAGAGUAGCAAGUAUUUUUGAAAACUUAAGAACUGAAUCUCUUUUUAAAUUACUCAGGUUUUAAAAAAAUCACACAUUAGAAAAAAAGCAUAACUAGCACCAUAAGCUCAUGUCCAUUAUCACUUAGGAUGAAGACAAUGUAUUUAAAUGGGAAAAAAACAAGUUAGCUAAAGGAAAAUUUUUGAACAAAUGGACCUGGCCUUGGAUACAACAGUGAAGUUGGUACCAAAACAACUAAAUUUUGGGAAAUAUUAGCUACUGGUUAAAGAUGUCACCCAUGGACUUUGGAUUUAGAUUUCAGUUAGAAUCCUGAAUCUACUCCCCUGUCACUGCAUGAGAUUUAAGUCACUUAUAAGUGAGGAGGAUUACAGUGUCAACCUCAAAGGAUAAUAGCAAAGAUUCAGUUAAAUGAGAUACUGUAGGUAAAGGGGCUGGCAUAAGUGAUAAGUAGCCAUUAUUAAACCCUCCUGGAUUUAAUAGAUGAAACAAACCCUAUUAUGUAAACUUAGUUUAUACCACUUAGAAACGCACAGGAUCAGACACCAGUCUAGAGAGAUCAGUUCAGCCUGUAGUGGGCUUGUUAUCCUGCCACAGCCCCAGGACCAUCACCAACUUCCCCAGGGUUGCAGCUGCUCACAGCUAUCCUGAAGUUUGCCAGUUGGUGGGCACCAUGACUGUCACAUCGAGGUGCUAAUGCACUCCAGAUGUGGGUGCCGAGACUCAGCAAGCUUGUCUUCUUGAACAGCAUAGGGACCUCUCAACAUACUUGUAUUCUGAGCACACAGCUGACAGCUCUGUUCCGUUAGUAGGCCAGCAGGGACAGCCUGCAUCUUGACCACAGUGGGGAACACAAGAAGUCUCAAUGGGGGCUGUCAUGGGCUGUCUUGUCUUACCUUUCACAUACUGCAUUCCUGGGAGGAUUCCUUCAACAACCUGCACUGGCAGAGAACUAGGUGAAUUGAAGCAGCCUUUAUUCCCUGCAAGAAAGUUUCUUCGCAGGACCAUGGAGCGCAGGGUUGCCUUCCACUCAGAAGGCUUAGCUUUAAGGCUGGUUAUUUCUGAGAGAUGAAACCAAGAGCACCCAGUCUCACCAAGAGGAUUCAGGGGACAUGCUUAUUAUCAUUCUUCUUAGCACAAACAUCACAUGUACACAAUUUUAAAGAUUUAAAAGAUAGAAAAAAAAUGUAUAUAAAAAAAAAUUCCCAAAUGUCACAACCCAACAAAAAGUGUUAACAUUUGACAUUUCCUUCUGAUAUUUUCCUAUGAAAUCUUUUUUCAUAGUGGUAAUUAUGCUAUUUACAUGUAUGCCUAUUAUAUUAGAUUUUCCGCAUAUCAUUGGGGUUUCAAAAUAUUUUUUAUAAUGAUGAGAUCAUCGCAUCGUAUAGCUAUACCAUAAUGUGCUUAACGAAUGCCCUAUUAUGGGAUAUUUAAAUUUUCAUGUUUUUAUUAUCAUAAACAAUUCUAUAUUAAUAUCUUUGCGAAUGUAUCUUUGCUCAUACUUCAAAUUAUUAGCUCAGGGGAAUUUCUUGAUGUAGAAUCAUUGAGUUUAGCCGUAUAAAUAUUUUUGGUUUCUUGAUAUAUACUGUUUAAUUGCUUCCCAGAAAGAAUAUAUCACUUCACAGUCCUACGACAGGCCUAUGAAAUUGCCAUCUCACCAAAUUUUUGCCAGUG
This 8925-nucleotide long non-coding RNA is filed under the name Marmota monax (woodchuck). Lineage: Eukaryota; Metazoa; Chordata; Mammalia; Rodentia; Sciuridae. The record is from RNAcentral.